RNAcentral lists this ribosomal RNA (253 nucleotides) under uncultured bacterium. RNAcentral describes it as "partial 16S ribosomal RNA". It matches the Rfam family "Bacterial small subunit ribosomal RNA", at positions 524 to 776 of the family's 1533-position model. The record is from RNAcentral.
UACGUAGGGCGCAAGCGUUGUCCGGAAUUAUUGGGCGUAAAGAGCUCGUAGGCGGCCUGUUGCGUCCGCUGUGAAAUCCCGGGGCUCAACCCCGGGCCUGCAGUGGAUACGGGCUGGCUAGAGGCAGGCAGGGGAGAACGGAAUUCCUGGUGUAGCGGUGAAAUGCGCAGAUAUCAGGAGGAACACCGGUGGCGAAGGCGGUUCUCUGGGCCUUACCUGACGCUGAGGAGCGAAAGCGUGGGGAGCAAACAGG